Long non-coding RNA from Sciurus carolinensis (gray squirrel), 211 nucleotides. RefSeq lists it as uncharacterized. The record is from RefSeq and is a predicted model, not a curated record. The transcript is spliced from 2 exons. NCBI's taxonomy places the organism in Eukaryota, Metazoa, Chordata, Mammalia, Rodentia, Sciuridae.
AUAUAUUGGAGUGUAAGUUCCACAAAGAGAGAACAAAGAAAGAACUAUGAGGAAGAAGCGCGCAAAAUAAAGAGCUCAAAAGAACCAGGCCUGUGUCUUAUCUCUCUGCGGGCAAGGAGUGCGAUAGGUGGCGCCGAGACCCGGGAAUCUACAGAUAAAGUAAAAGUCCCAGUCUCUGUUACAGAUGCAAAAUUGCCAGUGUUACUAUCAA